RNAcentral lists this long non-coding RNA (276 nucleotides) under Carica papaya (papaya). RNAcentral's name for it is "long non-coding RNA (CPAP_LNC008760)". Lineage: Eukaryota; Viridiplantae; Streptophyta; Magnoliopsida; Brassicales; Caricaceae. The record is from RNAcentral.
UAUUGUGUGUAAUUGAGUUGAUGGUUUUUAUAAUCUUCUCAGUUAUUUGGUUAUUUGGUUCUUUCUGCAUUCUUUAUCCGGUAUUCUGGUUAUUGGUUAUUGGUUAUUUGGCUAUGCUAAAUUAUAUCGUUUGUUUAAGUGCCAUUUGAAUUAAUAUGUGAAUAUGAAAUGAGAUGUUAGUAUGCUUUAGUGAUUGCUUGGAUGACAAGAGUAUAAAUAAAUGAAAGCUUACUGGGCAUCCUGGGAAAGGGUAGACGGGCUUAGUACAUAGGGAAU